AAGUGACAUAGCAAGGAGACUCAUAUUUAAGCGAAGGAGAAAGAGGAAGGGCCCUUUUUCCCCUUGCUCCUCCUCCAGCCGCACAAUGUGAUCCACCGGCAAGGAGGGACACCAAAAAGGCAUCCAAUAAGAUAAGUCUUAUGAAAUAUAUAGAUUUAUGAUUAAGACUGAGCUAGCAGAUGAGAAUCCUAGUCAUUGGUCAAGCAGCUUUGAACGUAAUACAAGUAAUUCAUUUGGGCCCUGACUCGGGCGGGCGGCUGGUGUGAAGCUCACAUGUGACGGUGGGGCUCAGGCGGCUUUUGGCAGAAAGAUUUAUCAUAAAAAAUGACAUUUUGAUCCAAUUUCUUUCUGGAUCCUCUGACAUUGAGUGUAUCUGAUGAAGGGAGUGGCCGGCUGAACUUGAAUCUCUUGACUUUCCUGCAGUUUAGGCUGGGGCUGAGCCUGGACAAAUGUCAGAUAUUUCGUGGAGUUUUUUUCCUCCUAGGGGAUUUCCCUUCUUUGUAUACCAGAAGACUGUACCAUCCACAGCAGCUUCUCCAGUGCUCCAAAGAUACCACAGUUCCUACCUCUUGAAUUCCUUACUGAGGCUUCCACAGGAGGUCAGUUCAUCAAUAGCCUUCUUCCCAAGAUGGUGCCCAACAACAACACUCUCAGACAUGGCUGAAUCAAUGCUGCCCUCAAUGUGGCUGGAUACUAAUUGCCCGAAAGUGACUGGAGACCAAAGUGCCCCAGACUGAAUAACUGUUCCUAUCUUAUAUACCUCAAGUGCUGGGAUUAAAGGUAUGUGACCCCAAGUGCUGAGAUAUCCUUUGUGUGAGCUGUUUCUCUGUUAGACUGGAUCAAUUUCGUGUACCUCAGUGUGGCCUUAAACUAACGAAGAACCGUCUAAGUCUGUCUCCUGAUCCUGGGAUUAAAGGUGUCCAUCACCAAUGCCUAGCUUCUAUAGCUAACUAGUGUGGCUGGCUUUGUAUUCUUAUAUUUUCAGGCAAACUUUAUUAAAUCAUAAAUAAUAUAUCACCACACAUGUUCUAUUGCUAUUAUGGGGGCACAUAAACAGACAUGGCACUGGAAAGGCAGCUGAGAGUUCUAUAUCUUGAUCCAUAGGCAGCAGGAAGAAAGACACCUCAAUGCCCAUAUCCAGUGACACACUUCCUCUAACAAUGUCCCUCAAAGAGGACACACCUGCUAAUAGUGCCACUCCCUAAUGACUAAGCAUUCAAAUCUAUGAGCCUAUGGGACCAAUUCUUAUUAAAGCACCAC
Molecule: long non-coding RNA, 1260 nt
Filed under: Cricetulus griseus (Chinese hamster)
Lineage: Eukaryota; Metazoa; Chordata; Mammalia; Rodentia; Cricetidae
Description: lncRNA (ENSCGRG00000025628.1)
Source: RNAcentral